This 207-nucleotide non-coding RNA is filed under the name Flavobacterium sp. Lineage: Bacteria; Pseudomonadati; Bacteroidota; Flavobacteriia; Flavobacteriales; Flavobacteriaceae. The record is from RNAcentral.
AUAUUUGCCGCAGAUUUUGGUCUAUUUUUCUAAGUUUUUUUAGAGAAUAGUUAAAAGGGAAUCAGGUGUAAAUCCUGAGCAGACCCGCUACUGUAAGUUCUAUAUAAGUCUUUAAACGUUUCUAAUGCCACUGUUUGCUACAGCGAAUGGGAAGGCUGUUUUAAAGAUAGAAUAAGUCAGGAGACCUGCCAUAAUCACAUAGUUUAA